UACGAAGGGGGCUAGCGUUGCCCGGAAUCACUGGGCGUAAAGCGCACGUAGGCGGAUUGCUAAGUCAGGGGUGAAAUCCUGGAGCUCAACUCCAGAACUGCCCUUGAUACUGGCGGUCUCGAGUCCGGGAGAGGUGAGUGGAACUGCGAGUGUAGAGGUGAAAUUCGUAGAUAUUCGCAAGAACACCAGUGGCGAAGGCGGCUCACUGGCCCGGUACUGACGCUGAGGUGCGAAAGCGUGGGGAGCAAACAGG
Molecule: ribosomal RNA, 253 nt
Filed under: uncultured bacterium
Lineage: Bacteria
Description: partial 16S ribosomal RNA
Rfam family: Bacterial small subunit ribosomal RNA
Source: RNAcentral